This 548-nucleotide ribosomal RNA is filed under the name uncultured archaeon. Its description in RNAcentral is "bacterial SSU rRNA". It matches the Rfam family "Archaeal small subunit ribosomal RNA", at positions 326 to 879 of the family's 1478-position model. The record is from RNAcentral.
CGGGGUGCCCAGGCGCGAAAACUUUACAAUGCGGGAAACCGUGAUAAGGGGACUCCGAGUGCCCGUAAAAUCGGGCUGUCCAUCUGUUUAAAUAACAGGUGAAGAAAGGGCCGGGCAAGACCGGUGCCAGCCGCCGCGGUAAUACCGGCGGCUCGAGUGGUGGCCACUAUUACUGGGCUUAAAGCGUUCGUAGCUGGUCUGUUAAGUCUCUGGGGAAAUCUACUGGCUUAACCAAUAGGCGUUUCAGGGAUACUGGCAGACUAGGGACCGGGAGAGGUGAGGGGUACUCCAGGGGUAGGAGUGAAAUCCUGUAAUCCUUGGGGGACCACCUGUGGCGAAGGCGCCCCACCAGAACGGCUCCCACAGUGAGGGACGAAAGCUGGGGGAGCAAACCGGAUUAGAUACCCGGGUAGUCCCAGCCGUAAACGAUGCGCGUUAGGUGUAUCGGUGACCACUAGUCACCGAGGUGCCGAAGAGAAAUCGUGAAACGUGCCGCCUGGGAAGUACGGUCGCAAGGCUGAAACUUAAAGGAAUUGGCGGGGGAGCAC